UGAGUAUUGCGGGCGGGGCCUAACAAUGCAGUCGAGCGGUAACACAGAGAGCUUGCUCUCGGGUGACGAGCGGCGGACGGGUGAGUAAUGUCUGGGAAACUGCCUGAUGGAGGGGGAUAACUACUGGAAACGGUAGCUAAUACCGCAUAACGUCGCAAGACCAAAGUGGGGGACCUUCGGGCCUCAUGCCAUCAGAUGUGCCCAGAUGGGAUUAGCUAGUAGGUGGGGUAAUGGCUCACCUAGGCGACGAUCCCUAGCUGGUCUGAGAGGAUGACCAGCCACACUGGAACUGAGACACGGUCCAGACUCCUACGGGAGGCAGCAGUGGGGAAUAUUGCACAAUGGGCGCAAGCCUGAUGCAGCCAUGCCGCGUGUAUGAAGAAGGCCUUCGGGUUGUAAAGUACUUUCAGCGAGGAGGAAGGCGUUAAGGUUAAUAACCUUAGCGAUUGACGUUACUCGCAGAAGAAGCACCGGCUAACUCCGUGCCAGCAGCCGCGGUAAUACGGAGGGUGCAAGCGUUAAUCGGAAUUACUGGGCGUAAAGCGCACGCAGGCGGUCUGUCAAGUCGGAUGUGAAAUCCCCGGGCUCAACCUGGGAACUGCAUUCGAAACUGGCAGGCUAGAGUCUUGUAGAGGGGGGUAGAAUUCCAGGUGUAGCGGUGAAAUGCGUAGAGAUCUGGAGGAAUACCGGUGGCGAAGGCGGCCCCCUGGACAAAGACUGACGCUCAGGUGCGAAAGCGUGGGGAGCAAACAGGAUUAGAUACCCUGGUAGUCCACGCCGUAAACGAUGUCGACUUGGAGGUUGUGCCCUUGAGGCGUGGCUUCCGGAGCUAACGCGUUAAGUCGACCGCCUGGGGAGUACGGCCGCAAGGUUAAAACUCAAAUGAAUUGACGGGGGCCCGCACAAGCGGUGGAGCAUGUGGUUUAAUUCGAUGCAACGCGAAGAACCUUACCUACUCUUGACAUCCAGAGAACUUAGCAGAGAUGCUUUGGUGCCUUCGGGAACUCUGAGACAGGUGCUGCAUGGCUGUCGUCAGCUCGUGUUGUGAAAUGUUGGGUUAAGUCCCGCAACGAGCGCAACCCUUAUCCUUUGUUGCCAGCGGUCCGGCCGGGAACUCAAAGGAGACUGCCAGUGAUAAACUGGAGGAAGGUGGGGAUGACGUCAAGUCAUCAUGGCCCUUACGAGUAGGGCUACACACGUGCUACAAUGGCAUAUACAAAGAGAAGCGACCUCGCGAGAGCAAGCGGACCUCAUAAAGUAUGUCGUAGUCCGGAUUGGAGUCUGCAACUCGACUCCAUGAAGUCGGAAUCGCUAGUAAUCGUAGAUCAGAAUGCUACGGUGAAUACGUUCCCGGGCCUUGUACACACCGCCCGUCACACCAUGGGAGUGGGUUGCAAAAGAAGUAGGUAGCUUAACCUUCGGGAGGGCGCUACCACUUUGUAUUACCUG
Molecule: ribosomal RNA, 1449 nt
Filed under: Enterobacter sp. BSJ18
Lineage: Bacteria; Pseudomonadati; Pseudomonadota; Gammaproteobacteria; Enterobacterales; Enterobacteriaceae
Description: bacterial SSU rRNA
Rfam family: Bacterial small subunit ribosomal RNA
Source: RNAcentral